Molecule: non-coding RNA, 74 nt
Organism: Angiostrongylus cantonensis (rat lungworm)
Lineage: Eukaryota; Metazoa; Nematoda; Chromadorea; Rhabditida; Metastrongylidae
Source: Rfam
GCCGCCAUAGCUCAGUCGGUUAGAGCGUGGGUCUAAUAAGCCCAAGGUUCCAGGUUCGACCCCUGCUGGAGGCA